CCAGUUAGUUCGCUCGGUCGCAUAUAGUCAAACACCGAAUGCGGUGUUACGUCCAGGCCCAAAUUCGGGGCGUAACAUCUGAAAAACACCAUUAUAAAAUUACCCUUAUGAACAAAUAUUUAAACCGAGUAGCUAUUAUAAUGAAAAAGUCAAUAGCGAAACUUAUUAUGGGCAAAUAUAUAUAUAUAUAUAUAUAUAUAUAUAUAUAUAAUAAGAAACAAUAGAUUACAUAUGAAUCUCACAGCAGAGAUUACAUAUAUAUUCAUCCAAAUCUCACAGCAGAGAUUACAUAUGAAUUAAAAGGGGGCAAAACAAUAGAGGAAGAAUUAAGAAUGCACCUAAAUAUGACACUUUCUUCCAUUUAUAACGAAACUUCACGUACAAAACCGAUAGCUACUAGCCACAUCUGUUUAGAACACAUCAGAACCAAGCUUACGAGAUCAGAACCGUGAACCUCGAACAAGACCGCGAACGGACAACCUCGCCGGGAAACUAGGACCUCAUCAAAGAAGAACGAUGUUUUUCGGUGUGUUGUUCCGGUGGCAACACAAUCGGAGAACAACUUCAUGCUUGCUCAGAACUUUGUGAAGGUACAACCACAAGAAACGUAAUGCAAAUUUUCAACUUUGAACUCAAAUCAACAGAUCUUAUAACCCACAUAGAAUUCAUGUCUGAAGGAGCUGAAUCGGAAAAAAGGGACAAUGAAUGAAAGGGAUUUCUCGAAAUUGACCUGCACCCUUAAUCGCCAACUUCUGCUAAUGAAUGGAUGAGUUGUCCUUGUCCAAAAUCAGUGUUAAUGAAUUUGAGAAUUGGGUGGCGGCGAUGGUUUGAGAAUGAUAGAGGGAUGGGCGGCGUUGGCUGGACAAAUGGAACAAGGCUGCCCUUUUUGAGCCUCAAGAAUGAGAGACAGUUGAUGAUUAAAGGCGUAGGAAUUUUGGAGAUUAAAAGGU
RNAcentral lists this long non-coding RNA (950 nucleotides) under Nicotiana tabacum (common tobacco). Its description in RNAcentral is "long non-coding RNA (NTAB_LNC018084)". The record is from RNAcentral. Lineage: Eukaryota; Viridiplantae; Streptophyta; Magnoliopsida; Solanales; Solanaceae.